This 235-nucleotide ribosomal RNA is filed under the name Salmonella enterica. RNAcentral's name for it is "partial 16S ribosomal RNA". It matches the Rfam family "Bacterial small subunit ribosomal RNA", at positions 1298 to 1533 of the family's 1533-position model. The record is from RNAcentral. RNAcentral also lists the same sequence under 1 other name. Lineage: Bacteria; Pseudomonadati; Pseudomonadota; Gammaproteobacteria; Enterobacterales; Enterobacteriaceae.
CUGCAACUGCAACUCGACUCCAUGAAGUCGGAAUCGCUAGUAAUCGUGGAUCAGAAUGCCACGGUGAAUACGUUCCCGGGCCUUGUACACACCGCCCGUCACACCAUGGGAGUGGGUUGCAAAAGAAGUAGGUAGCUUAACCUUCGGGAGGGCGCUUACCACUUUGUGAUUCAUGACUGGGGUGAAGUCGUAACAAGGUAACCGUAGGGGAACCUGCGGUUGGAUCACCUCCUUA